This 2633-nucleotide long non-coding RNA is filed under the name Callithrix jacchus (white-tufted-ear marmoset). Its description in RNAcentral is "lncRNA (ENSCJAG00000071691.1)". The record is from RNAcentral. Lineage: Eukaryota; Metazoa; Chordata; Mammalia; Primates; Cebidae.
GCAAGUUUAGUCCAGCUGACAGUUUCUUCCAGAGGAAAGCAGACACAGGGAGCACACAAAGGUCCUGCUAUCACGUUGCAGAACAGAGGCCAAGGGAGACAGGAGGAGGAUGAGGUGAUGGAAUCAGUACUCCAAAGACCUAGGAACUAAGACAAUUUCCUUCCCCUCUCUGUGCCUACAUUUUCUCAUCUAUAAAAUGAAAACAUUGUACUUGGGGAAGUCUAAGAGACCUCUCAGCUAAAAGAGUUUAUGUCCUAUGGUCCAAAAAGAAGGUAUCCUUGAAAUUCAUUUGAACUGAGGUAAAACAGAAAGGGAUGAAGCUUGGAAAUAAUGGAACAGAAAUUAACAAGUAUUGAAGACAAAAAAAGUCAGCUUUGAGUAUACAAUAAAAAGAGCCCAUAAACUGAUUGCCCCAUAGAAAUCAAUGAAAUGAAAUCACCAGACCAGCCAGAGACAUGAUGCUGGCAUAUUCAGCCGAGUGGUCAAUGGAGCCUUUAGCACAUCCCAGCUUGUUCUUAUGGACAUUUUUCUGAAGGCAUCUAUCAGUUUUUUUAAAAGAAAAAAAAAGUAGCCCAAGUUUUUCCAUUAAAAGAAUAAAGAAUGUAUCCCAGCCUAAUCUGAGAAACUUAGCAUGAAAAUCCUCUUAUCUUUGUCACUUCUAAUAGCAGACAUUGCUCAGUUAUUCAACUGCUGUCUUGACCUCUGGAUGGUUGGAGGAGCAGAACCAAUUAUCUUCGAAGUAAAGCAUACCAACAAACUCAUUCGAAAUCAUUUUGUCAAUCUCUGUUUUCUAAUGCUAUAUAAAGAAAAGCUUUGAAUGGUGCUGAAUCCUGGAAAGAACCAUGGACAUUUUGGAGUCAAGAAAACACUGGCUGGAGUUCAAGGCCAAGAUUUUGGAUCAGCUGCCACCAUAAUUUUUCAGAAAUGUGAUGACUGUUCCUCAAGAAAUAGUUUCCUAAGUAGGCUGCAGGAAUGUCUCCUGUACGUACUCGAAAGGGAUUUAAAGAAUGAAGCCCUUGGGGACCCACCAGUGCAGCUGAGUUACCAUGGACUUUUCGAGCGAAGGGUGAGAAGUCCAAGUUGCAUCACAAAUCCUCCUCACCAAAUGUAGUGAAGGAAUUAGAGUGGCUUCUGAUGGAGCUAGGACAUGCUGGACUCUGCAUCUUCUACAUGAUAGAUGAGCACAAUGAUAUAUAAUAAAAUCUGUCUAGAUAACCUACAUAGAACUUCUCUUUUCUUCAUUGCAAGAUCUGUGCUAAACUAAACAGUGUAAGCUCCUGCAAUGCCCAGUAUCCUAUUUGAAUGUAAUGAUAACGAAGAGGACAGUCAUGUGAAACUCUAAACUAUGCUCCAGCUCUCGAGAGGGCCACUGAAGUCCUGAUUUCUCUCAUUUUCUCUUUAUUGUCUAUUUCCAAUCCUUUAUUUGUAUAUCACAAAGCAUCACUCAUACUUCAAAAAUUCAGAGGAUUGGCCAGGUAUGGUGGCUUGCACCCAUAAUCCCAGCACUUUGGGAGUCCAAGGCGGGUGGAUCAUGAGGUCAAAAGAUCAAGACUAUCCUGGCCAACAUGGUGAAACUCUGUCUCUACUAAAAAUACAAAAAUUAGCUGGGCGUGGUGGCAUUCACCUGUAGUUCCAGCUACUUUGGAAGCUGAGGCGGGAGAAUCGCUUGAACUCGGGAGGCAGAAGUUACAGUGAGCCAAGAUCACAGUACUGCACUCCAGCCUGGUGACAGAGCAAGAUUCCAUCUCACACACACACACAAAAUUCAGAGGAUCAUCCCAAGUUGAAUACCCAAGCCUAUGACUUAGCAUGAAGAACAUUCCCUACUCUUUUUUAUUUAGUGUACUAUUGCAACUAAACACUCUGUAAUUAAUACCGUAUAUUGUGGUUGUCAAGGGAAAGAUUUACAACGUACCUAACUGAGGUCCUAACAUAGAAAAGAAGAUAAACUUCAGGUAAUGGAAGAUUGGGUGUGAAAUAGAAUCUGUGUUGAGUCAGAAAUACUAUUCUGGAAUCACAGCUAUAGUGCCUCGGGAGACAUUGAGCAUGCUCAGCCAAUAGGGAGGAAGAGAGAAAACGUUAGUGCUUCAAGGGCAGUAGUUGCACCAUGCAGAUCAUAUCCUGAAAAGAUUAGAUAAGACAUUAAUUUAUUGGGCCGUGUGCGGUGGCUCAUGCCUAUAAUCUCAGCACUUUGGGAGUUCGAGGUGGAUGGAUCAUUUGAGGUCAGGAGUUCAAGACCAGCCUGGUUUCAUGGUGAAACAUCAUCUCUACUAAAAAUACAAAAAAAUUGGCUGGACAUGGUGGUGAGCACCUGUAGUCCCAACUACUCAGGAGGUUAAGCAGGAGAACCUCUUGAACCUGGGAUGCGGAGGUUGCAGAAAGUGGGGAUCACACCACUGCACUCCAACCUGGGAGACAGAGCAACGUUCCAACUAAAAAAAAAGACAUUAAUUUAUUAUCAAUUAUUACAUUUCUUUUAGAAAUUGUAUAGGAAUAAAAUUAAGUAUAUUCAAAUAGGAUAUUUUAAAAGAUAGCAUCUGAUCUCUGAAGGUUUAUAUAGUUAACACAAACGAUUUCCAAAGUGGAAGCUGAUGCUGAAUUCUUCAUUCUAUUUAGAAAAUUAUAAUCAUUAU